Trichosurus vulpecula (common brushtail) is the source of this 1188-nucleotide long non-coding RNA. RefSeq lists it as uncharacterized. The record is from RefSeq and is a predicted model, not a curated record. NCBI's taxonomy places the organism in Eukaryota, Metazoa, Chordata, Mammalia, Diprotodontia, Phalangeridae. The transcript has 4 exons.
AUGUUCAAGAGAAAAAUCACCAACUUGAGAAGGCCAAGGUCUCCAACGCAGCUCUGAAACAGCAAAACCAAAUCCUUGUUCAGAGAAUCUCAGAGCGUAGGAUUUUCCAUGGUGGAAAUCUCUACUACUUUUCCUGUGGCAAAAUGUCCUGGAAUGAUGCUGAGCAGUACUGUGUGUCAAAGGGCUCCCAUCUGACCUCAGUGACUUCAGUGGAAGAACAGGAAUUUCUUUAUAAAAAAGCCAAUGGUACCUACUAUUGGAUUGGACUGAGUAACCAAAAUGCUUUAGGCUGGCAAUGGACUGACAGGACCCCAUAUGAUGAAGCCCAAAGCAAAGAGUUCUGGGCUGAUGGGAAACCAAGCAAAGAAAAAGGAAAUGAUAACUGUACCCAUUUCUGGGCAAAGACACAAAAAUCAUGGAAUAAUUUCAUUUGCACAUAUUCUUGCAAGUUUAUCUGUAAGUGGAACUGUGAGUCAUCUGAGAUGUGCCAAAACAUACAAACAUCUGGCUCCUGAAUGCUGCUGACCCCCACCCUAGAAGCAAUGGGGCAGAUGGCAGACACUGGUCCGCCUACCAUGCAUACAGAGGAGUUUAUGAGCACUAUUUUCCUUUCCAAUUUCAAGUUCCCCCAAAGGAACCUAGAAGACUAGUAAUGGUCUUAUCACUUGUGCCAAAUGAUGUCCCCAUGCCUUCAGACAGCCACAGAUCUUCCUUCUUCUCCUAGUCAUCAUCGCUCAUUGCUCAUGCUUGUGCCUUCUCCAUCCGCUCAUUUCUCCAGGUAUUGCUCACAAGUGCAAUGCAGUUCCUGCCCAGGCUUCUUUCCUUUUCCCCAAUGAGUUGAGGAACAAGUUUGAGGGGAGGGGCCUGACAUAGAACUUGCUGACUGUCCUGUUCCCCCAAGUAGAACAGAUCCCAAGGUUCCUACCCACUGAUCACUAGGUCUAGAAAUCACAAGAUCCCAGCUCACCUUAGCUCUGAAAUACCCCCUCAAGGUCAGUCUGGGCCCCAUCUCUGUCCAGAAGGUUGGGGCAAAGCUUGGCUACUAUUCUCGCCUACUGGAGAUCCAGUAAGAGGAAGGCACCCUGUUAGAUUAAAAUGUACAUUAAAAAAUCAGGACUCUGUACUGAACAAGGAGAGGUGAGGGUAUGUGAUUGUGUAGGAAAGGGUGGUGUUACAUAUAAUACAUAU